RNAcentral lists this long non-coding RNA (1270 nucleotides) under Anser cygnoides (Swan goose). Its description in RNAcentral is "lncRNA (ENSACDG00005008695.1)". Lineage: Eukaryota; Metazoa; Chordata; Aves; Anseriformes; Anatidae. The record is from RNAcentral.
UUUCUUAUUUUCAAAACAGCAGUCUGCUUCCCUUUGAUGAUGGACAGUAGGUCAAGCCAGUCACCGAGUUGCCAACGCAGAGCUUCGCAGUUCCAGAAGGCACUCUUUCCUUUGACCGAUUCCUUAUAAGUGUUAUCUACCACUGGUAAAAGCAAUAAACAGACUGCAAACAGGCACUGCCACAUUUGACAAACUUCAUGUUUUUUAUUUUAUCAUUUCAAAAGAGCAGUCCAUUUGUCUCUACCUCUGAGAAGUAGAUCAAACCAGUCACCGAGUUGCUGAACAAAAACUUGACAGUUUUUUGCUGAACAGCAACUUGACAGUUGCUGCUUCCUUUGACCCAUUCCUCCUAAGGUUUACCUACUGCUGGGAAAAAAAGAAAAAAGCCUCUGUGCCAGCUGCCCUUGAGUAUUUGCCCAGAGCUUGAGUAUUCGCCCAGAGACAGACCAGAUGUCUUUCCCAAAAGAGUCAGGACAAUGUAUUAUUGCACUGAUGAACCACCACAUUAGCUACCAUCACUAAUUGCCAGGCAGGACAGCUCCAGGCCAAACACGUACAUAAAAAGGCACGCUACAAACAUCAUGACCAAAACAUAGGAAAAGAAUUACUUAUACUAUAAGAAUGACUCACCUGAAGAAGACCUGCAUGCAAUAAAGGCAUCUACUACUGUAUAGUUUACUUUAAAUGAUCCUACUAGAUGUUACUUUAAAUAGAUGUACUUAUCUCUUUCAACUUGGAAACGCAUCAACCCCUAGACUCUGACCCACCUAAAAAAAAAAAAAAAAACUGCAUCUGGAUUUUUCUUUGUUUUGGAUUUUACCCAUUUCCUUGAUUUCCCAUUCCCUUUUAUUUAUUUAUAUUAGUUACUGUCCCUUAUUUCAAUUUCCAUGCAAACCUUUUUAUUGCAGGUUUUUACUAUCUUUUCCUAAUCUUCUUCCCAAAUGUCCCAAUUCUCUGGGAUUAAACUCUUCUUUCCACAUACAAACUUUACUGUUUCAGAUUGUUAAUGAGCCCCGUUCCAAUCAUAAAUCCACAGGACUUCGGAAAAACACCUGAAGCACUCAGACUUCCAUCUUCUAGACAAACAAUAACACCUUUUCCACAAAAAUUACUUUUCAACAAGACUGAAUUUCAAGCCGAAUGCUAAUUUUUUUCAUGCACUUUGUUAGUAAGCCUUCACAAAACAAGGAAUCACUCCUGUGUAUCCGUCAAUAUGGGGGUUUAAAAAGGUAUUGAGGCCUAAAUAAAUUCGCUCUCCCCCUUCUUACCA